AUUGAACGCUGGCGGCAGGCCUAACACAUGCAAGUCGAGCGGAUGAAGGGAGCUUGCUCCUGGAUUCAGCGGCGGACGGGUGAGUAAUGCCUAGGAAUCUGCCUGGUAGUGGGGGAUAACGUCCGGAAACGGGCGCUAAUACCGCAUACGUCCUGAGGGAGAAAGUGGGGGAUCUUCGGACCUCACGCUAUCAGAUGAGCCUAGGUCGGAUUAGCUAGUUGGUGGGGUAAAGGCCUACCAAGGCGACGAUCCGUAACUGGUCUGAGAGGAUGAUCAGUCACACUGGAACUGAGACACGGUCCAGACUCCUACGGGAGGCAGCAGUGGGGAAUAUUGGACAAUGGGCGAAAGCCUGAUCCAGCCAUGCCGCGUGUGUGAAGAAGGUCUUCGGAUUGUAAAGCACUUUAAGUUGGGAGGAAGGGCAGUAAGUUAAUACCUUGCUGUUUUGACGUUACCAACAGAAUAAGCACCGGCUAACUUCGUGCCAGCAGCCG
This 494-nucleotide ribosomal RNA is filed under the name uncultured bacterium. RNAcentral describes it as "bacterial SSU rRNA". It matches the Rfam family "Bacterial small subunit ribosomal RNA", at positions 30 to 517 of the family's 1533-position model. The record is from RNAcentral.